RNAcentral lists this ribosomal RNA (444 nucleotides) under uncultured bacterium. RNAcentral's name for it is "SSU rRNA". It matches the Rfam family "Bacterial small subunit ribosomal RNA", at positions 26 to 518 of the family's 1533-position model. The record is from RNAcentral.
AGAGCGAACGCUGGCGGCAGGCUUAACACAUGCAAGUCGAGCGGGCGUAGCAAUACGUCAGCGGCAGACGGGUGAGUAACGCGUGGGAACGUACCUUUUGGUUCGGAACAACCCAGGGAAACUUGGGCUAAUACCGGAUAAGCCCUUACGGGGAAAGAUUUAUCGCCGAAAGAUCGGCCCGCGUCUGAUUAGCUAGUUGGUGAGGUAAUGGCUCACCAAGGCGACGAUCAGUAGCUGGUCUGAGAGGAUGAUCAGCCACAUUGGGACUGAGACACGGCCCAAACUCCUACGGGAGGCAGCAGUGGGGAAUAUUGGACAAUGGGCGCAAGCCUGAUCCAGCCAUGCCGCGUGAGUGAUGAAGGCCCUAGGGCUGUAAAGCUCUUUGUGCGGGAAGAUAAUGACGGUACGCAAGAAUAAGCCCGGCUACUUCGCGCCAGCAGCCGC